RNAcentral lists this unclassified non-coding RNA (1121 nucleotides) under Dendronephthya gigantea. RNAcentral's name for it is "uncharacterized LOC114541368, transcript variant X1". The record is from RNAcentral. Lineage: Eukaryota; Metazoa; Cnidaria; Anthozoa; Malacalcyonacea; Nephtheidae.
UAUUUGUGGGCGCAGAAAAUGUCCCACGCGCGCGCGGGACAUAUGGCGCGAUAUACUCAAAUCUACGACAAACAAAUAUAUAUGUAGAUUUGACAAUGUCUUUCUACAAAGAGUUGAAUAAUUUGAGCACGGCCGACUUUUAUGAAUGCAAUUCAACAUCGAGAUCAUCUAAAAGAAAGGCAACGAGGGCUUCAAGGGAAUUAUUCGAAGUUGAGAGAGUGAUUUCGCGCAGAAUUCAACAAGGGAAGCCAAAGUAUUAUGUGAAAUGGCGAAAUUUCUCCAGCUUACAAAAUAGCUGGGAGCCAGAGGAAAAUUUGAAUACUGCCGCAUUAAGAGCUUUUGAAAACCCAGCAUUGUACAUGCCUGAUGAAAUCAUUCAGGAUGCAAGAGAUGCCUUAGCUUGUGGUAUAUUGGAGCAACUUAAGUCCAGAAGUGUACUACCCACUGUCAUCCCCUUUCGCCAUGAUGUUUUCAGAUACUUUUUCGGUGGAAAGGGAGAAAAAAGCAAUGAAAGAGGUGCUGUGCUGCUACACAAGUCUGAUUUUCAGGCUUGUAAUUUUCCAAAUAAUUGGGACAGAGUAAUGGAUAGCAUGGGGGAUGGCUUAGCAGUUGACUUUCCCAUUAAGUUUAGACCAUUUCUGUCAUGGAGCCCAAAGACAUAUCUUCUUAGGGAUGGGCAAGUUAUUCCUAGCCCAAGAUAUCGCCCUGAGAAAUUAAGUAUCUCUAUGUGUAAGAUAGCAUUAUAAUUAUAUUAUUAACACCUAUUUGUACAUGCAUGAACACAAUCAAUGAAAGUGAUUACCUAACAACAACUUAACCCUUUUUUGCCAAAACAGCCACAACUCUUAGAAAUUCUCAAAAGAGAUCUCAUUUUGGUUAAUUAAGUUAUUUACAUAUUUAUUUCAUUAGAAAUAGACAUGGGGAAUUAGAUAUUCUUGCUCAAUUGACCUUGCUAUUAGACAAAAGCAUUAAAUUAUGCAACAAAACAAGGCUUGUCUUGGCAGAGAAUGGCUCUCUUUGUUCGCUGACUGCCGUGUAAUUCCCACUGCCUGGAUUCUAAUUGGAGGAUGUCUGAUGCUGGGUUUUUAUUGUUUGAUUUGCGCAAAACGACACUCCUUGCC